AUGGAAAUGACCAAGCAGAAAGGCAAACGUUGAUGUAGAAGAGGAAAAUAAGAAUUACUAAAGUAAUACCUUUGAGUAGGCAAGAAGGAAUGGAUUCUGUGAGACAUAUAAGUGGAAGAUUUGGCCUUAUGUCAGAAAAAUGGACUGUUAUCUACAAAUAACGGCAGACAUGAUCAAUCUGCUUGGGGAAUUGAAGUUGACUGCAGAGAGCCAAUAAAAAGCCCAUGGAAAGACUGGUUCCCUAAGAAGUUUCCUGACCCGUGAAAACUAAAGUCAUAGUAUUCUGAAGACUAGAGAAAUUCAACGAAGCCUGUCAAUCUCCCUUGUUUGAAAUCCCAAGGAGUAUGUUGGCAAUGAGAAACCAAUAUGGCCCAGUGGGAUUUCAAAGGCUCUGGGACCAUUGCAAAAAAGAAGGGUGCGUGAGACUCUACACAUGAAUUAGUGGAAUGUGGAGGACAAAGCAACGCCACCUAGGAUGUUAAUCCACCAUGUGGACUUCCCCUGUUCUGGGAAGGCUUCUAAGAUUUCCCCUCUCUCUAUUGUUUCUUGUGUAAAAGCAUGUACUUACUGUAAAUCCUGCCCUUAGAUCAAGACAACUUUGAUGUUAUUGUAUUUCAAUUGUCCUACAUGUCCCUUCUGAGUCACCCUUUCCCUGUGGUAUACAACCCCUGGGUCUGAGGGGUAAUGGCACUGGGAUCCACCAUCUUGUCUCACUGCCGCCUGAGAUGCAGACAGGGCUUCUGUUUUUAAGUCUCCAUUAAAUGUUUCUUUUUGAGAAACG
RNAcentral lists this long non-coding RNA (781 nucleotides) under Homo sapiens (human). RNAcentral describes it as "HSALNT0009107". The record is from RNAcentral. Lineage: Eukaryota; Metazoa; Chordata; Mammalia; Primates; Hominidae.